UACAGAGACCUCAAGCGUUAUCCGGAAUCAUUGGGCGUAAAGCGUACCGAUCGGUGGUUUUGAAAGUCAGAGGUGAAAUCACGAAGCUUAACUUCGUGACUGUCCUUUGAAACUUCAGGACUAGAGGGGCAAAGAGGAGACUGGAACAAACGGUGUAGUAGUGAAAUGCGUUGAUAUCGUUUGGAACACCAAUAGCGAAGGCAGGUCUCUGGGUGCCUCCUGACACUGCUAGGACGAGAGCGUGGGGAGCGAAUGGG
Molecule: ribosomal RNA, 257 nt
Filed under: uncultured bacterium
Lineage: Bacteria
Description: partial 16S ribosomal RNA
Rfam family: Bacterial small subunit ribosomal RNA
Source: RNAcentral